ACAAAGGCCCUUUUUAGGGCCACCACCCUUUCUGAGAGGAGGUGUG
Fukomys damarensis (Damara mole-rat) is the source of this 46-nucleotide non-coding RNA. Lineage: Eukaryota; Metazoa; Chordata; Mammalia; Rodentia; Bathyergidae. The record is from Rfam.